This 253-nucleotide ribosomal RNA is filed under the name uncultured bacterium. Its description in RNAcentral is "partial 16S ribosomal RNA". It matches the Rfam family "Bacterial small subunit ribosomal RNA", at positions 524 to 776 of the family's 1533-position model. The record is from RNAcentral.
UACGGAGGGUGCGAGCGUUGUUCGGAAUUAUUGGGCGUAAAGCGCGUGUAGGCGGCUCCUUAAGUCUGAUGUGAAAGCCCCGGGCUCAACCUGGGAAGUGCAUUGGAAACUGGGGAACUUGAAUACGGGAGAGGGUAGUGGAAUUCCUGGUGUAGGGGUGAAAUCCGUAGAUAUCAGGAGGAACACCGGUGGCGAAGGCGGCUACCUGGACCGAUAUUGACGCUGAGACGCGAAAGCGUGGGGAGCAAACAGG